RNAcentral lists this ribosomal RNA (485 nucleotides) under Bacillus licheniformis. RNAcentral describes it as "bacterial SSU rRNA". It matches the Rfam family "Bacterial small subunit ribosomal RNA", at positions 1 to 483 of the family's 1533-position model. The record is from RNAcentral. Lineage: Bacteria; Bacillati; Bacillota; Bacilli; Caryophanales; Bacillaceae.
UUUGGGAAGAAAGUUUUAUCCUGGCUCAGGACGAAGGCUGGCGGCGUGCCUAAUACAUGCAAGUCGAGCGGACAGAUGGGAGCUGCUCCCUGAUGUUAGCGGCGGACGGGUGAGUAACACGUGGGUAACCUGCCUGUAAGACUGGGAUAACUCCGGGAAACCGGGGCUAAUACCGGAUGCUUGAUGAACCGCAUGGUUCAAUUAUAAAAGGUGGCUUUUAGCUACCACUUACAGAUGGACCCGCGGCGCAUUAGCUAGUUGGUGAGGUAACGGCUCACCAAGGCAACGAUGCGUAGCCGACCUGAGAGGGUGAUCGGCCACACUGGGACUGAGAGACGGCCCAGACUCCUACGGGAGGCAGCAGUAGGGAAUCUCCGCAAUGGACGAAAGUCUGACGGAGCAAGGCCGCGUGAGUGAUAAGGUUUCGGACGUAAACUCUGUGUUGGAAGACAAGACCGUCAAUGGCGGUCCUUACGGUCCAUCCA